RNAcentral lists this ribosomal RNA (908 nucleotides) under Staphylococcus sp. HMSC069E09. RNAcentral describes it as "bacterial LSU rRNA". It matches the Rfam family "Bacterial large subunit ribosomal RNA", at positions 1 to 905 of the family's 2925-position model. The record is from RNAcentral. Lineage: Bacteria; Bacillati; Bacillota; Bacilli; Caryophanales; Staphylococcaceae.
AGAUUAAGUUAUUAAGGGCGCACGGUGGAUGCCUUGGCACUAGAAGCCGAUGAAGGACGUUACUAACGACGAUAUGCUUUGGGUAGCUGUAAGUAAGCAUUGAUCCAGAGAUUUCCGAAUGGGGAAACCCAGCACAAGUUAUGUUGUGUUAUCGACAUGUGAAUACAUAGCAUGUUAGAAGGCAGACCCGGAGAACUGAAACAUCUUAGUACCCGGAGGAAGAGAAAGAAAAAUCGAUUCCCUGAGUAGCGGCGAGCGAAACGGGAAGAGCCCAAACCAAUAAGCUUGCUUAUUGGGGUUGUAGGACACUCUAUACGGAGUUACAAAGGAAUAUAUUAGACGAAUCAUCUGGAAAGAUGAAUCAAAGAAGGUAAUAAUCCUGUAGUUGAAAAUAUAUUCUCUCUUGAGUGGAUCCUGAGUACGACGGAGCACGUGAAAUUCCGUCGGAAUCUGGGAGGACCAUCUCCUAAGGCUAAAUACUCUCUAGUGACCGAUAGUGAACCAGUACCGUGAGGGAAAGGUGAAAAGUACCCCGGAAGGGGAGUGAAAGAGAACUUGAAACCGUGUGCUUACAAGUAGUCAGAGCCCGUUAAUGGGUGAUGGCGUGCCUUUUGUAGAAUGAACCGGCGAGUUACGAUUUGAUGCAAGGUUAAGCAGGAAAUGUGGAGCCGUAGCGAAAGCGAGUCUGAAUAGGGCGUUGAGUAUUUGGUCGUAGACCCGAAACCAGGUGAUCUACCCUUGGUCAGGUUGAAGUUCAGGUAACACUGAAUGGAGGACCGAACCGACUUACGUUGAAAAGUGAGCGGAUGAACUGAGGGUAGCGGAGAAAUUCCAAUCGAACUUGGAGAUAGCUGGUUCUCUCCGAAAUAGCUUUAGGGCUAGCCUCAAGUGAUGAUUAUUGGAGGUAG